This is a long non-coding RNA of Salvia splendens (bonfire salvia), 1820 nucleotides long. RefSeq lists it as uncharacterized. The transcript has 2 exons. NCBI's taxonomy places the organism in Eukaryota, Viridiplantae, Streptophyta, Magnoliopsida, Lamiales, Lamiaceae. The record is from RefSeq and is a predicted model, not a curated record.
UUCAAAGAAGGUACUUAUAUUAAAAAGAUAGUAAAGUUCUUGUGAGGAAUUGAAAUACAAGAAUAGUGGAUACAUACAAGUUGUUACAUCAUGAUACUAAAACGAGGAAUACUACACUUCUACUUUACGAGCUCCAAUACCUAGUAUUACAUGGAAAUGGGAGUACAACUUUCAUCUAUCCCUAUCUUAGGAUGAGGAUUAGUCAAAAGAGGAAAAUGAGAUAAAAUAGUGAUGUAAGUAAAUCUUCUCUCUUCUCCUCCAUCCUUCUCGAUCUCACAGUCGCCAAGCUCCAAAUGUGACGGCUUAUCCUUGCAAGUCAAACACCAAAAGGAGUUAGAGAUCUUCUCAACCAAAAAGGUGAAGUCUUGGAUUUUCAUCAAUCUAGUAAGAAUGCCAAAUAUGACAUGUCCCCAUCAAACAACUCCGGCCAAAGUUCAAAGUGGGGAUAAGAAUCAAGAUCCUCCAAAUCUUCCAUUAUGAGAAAAGAGGCAGUAAAAACCUCAAGAUGAGAUCACCACCUAAGCUCCAAAGGAGCAAGGCAAAUCCCCACAAAUCAAUGUUGUAAGAUCAGCCAACCUAUGUCCUCCCCAAACUUCACCAUAAUAGAGAUAGAUACAAAUAGUACAAGGUGAUGUGAGCUCAUCUUUUAAGCUUAAAAUAGAAGUGAAUCAGAUUUCCUUCCACAAAACCCAAGGCUGGAAUCAGCUUACACAAAAUAGACAAGAAAGUCUCAUAGCCAAAUUCAAAAGGGGAAGGGGACAAUGGCUCAAAGUAGGAGUAGAAGCUCCUAAUGUCUGCCGCAAAAGUCUAAGAAUUUUGCUAUAAAAACAGCCCCUUCCCCACUUCCUUCCACACACCAUCUCAAUCCCAAACUUCACCACAAAGUAUGAGGAGGCUAGCAUGAGGAGCAAGGAGUAACAACAAGGCUUAGGAUCAGCCACAAUAAUCAAGGACUCACCCAAGUCAAGAGACUCACAAGUAUUGAGCCAAGAGGGGAUAGGGAUAGGGGACUUAGCUUUAAGGCACAGGGGCAGCCUCAGAGACCCUCGGCGACGGCGAGGCCACAAGGGCAGCCGCGGGGACUCCACGAGGCAGCAGGUUUUCUGGCUGAACAGCUCCAGCAGCGGCUGUUCACCUGUGCAACUGGCAGCGACGAGCGGUGAGGCGAUAGCUGCUCGCAUGAGGCAGCGGCAGGGGAAGAGGCCGAGAAAGGGCAGCUCUCGCCCGUACCCGACAGACAGGGCAGCGCCGUGGCAGUUUCAAUCAGUGGCAAUGGCAUCGCGUGCCGAGAACUAUAUCGGCAACGCUGCGAGGGAGAGAAGGCGGCGGCGGCGGCCAAUUCCGCCUGGAGAGUAAGACGAAGUGUGGGAUCGACGUAGAGCACAGUCAGGGGGGGGGGAGAAAGAAGAGAGGGCUGCAAAUUCCAAUUUCAGGGAUAGAGAAGAGACGGGGCAACGUGAUUUUCAAUUUGGAGAUUUUCCUCUUUUGUGCAAUUUGGGAAUGUCUUUUCUGAGAUUAACCGGAGAAGAAGAUAGAGGAUUAAUGAAUUGACAAAGAAAGAAGACGGCGAGGAGGUCUCUGCGAUGCGGCAACGGAGCGCCGGCGAUUGCGAAGGAGCAGCGACGCUCCUGUCGCGAGAAAUUGAAUCAGAUUUAUCUCCAUUUAUCAUUGUUCUCGGUUUAAUUAUGUUAGGCUAAGAAUCUUGUGUUGCUCCAAACAUGUUGUUAGACAAGUUAAUUUCAUGAUUUAUCCUAUGUUCGUUUCUAUCUCGUGUUCGUUAUUACUACUUAUUUAAUUGAAUGAAUUUAUUACUUUAGGUG